GACGAACGCUGGCGGCGUGCUUAACACAUGCAAGUCGAACGGAAAGGCCCUGCUUUUGUGGGGUGCUCGAGUGGCGAACGGGUGAGUAACACGUGAGUAACCUGCCCUUGACUUUGGGAUAACUUCAGGAAACUGGGGCUAAUACCGGAUAGGAGCUCCUGCUGCAUGGUGGGGGUUGGAAAGUUUCGGCGGUUGGGGAUGGACUCGCGGCUUAUCAGCUUGUUGGUGGGGUAGUGGCUUACCAAGGCUUUGACGGGUAGCCGGCCUGAGAGGGUGACCGGCCACAUUGGGACUGAGAUACGGCCCAGACUGCUACGGGGGGCAGCAGUGGGGAAUAUUGCACAAUGGGCGGAAGCCUGAUGCAGCAACGCCGCGUGCGGGAAGACGGCCUUCGGGUUGUAAACCGCUUUCGCCUGUGACGAAGCGUGAGUGACGGUAAUGGGUAAAGAAGCACCGGCUAACUACGUG
This 468-nucleotide ribosomal RNA is filed under the name uncultured bacterium. RNAcentral describes it as "partial 16S ribosomal RNA". It matches the Rfam family "Bacterial small subunit ribosomal RNA", at positions 28 to 507 of the family's 1533-position model. The record is from RNAcentral.